GAUGAACGCUGGCGGCGUGCCUAAUACAUGCAAGUCGAGCGAAUGGAUUAAGAGCUUGCUCUUAUGAAGUUAGCGGCGGACGGGUGAGUAACACGUGGGUAACCUGCCCAUAAGACUGGGAUAACUCCGGGAAACCGGGGCUAAUACCGGAUAACAUUUUGAACCGCAUGGUUCGAAAUUGAAAGGCGGCUUCGGCUGUCACUUAUGGAUGGACCCGCGUCGCAUUAGCUAGUUGGUGAGGUGACGGCUCACCAAGGCAACGAUGCGUAGCCGCCCUGGGAGGGUGAUCGGCCACACUGGGACUGAGACACGGCCCAGACUCCUACGGGAGGCAGCAGUAGGGAAUCUUCCGCAAUGGACGAAAGUCUGACGGAGCAACGCCGCGUGAGUGAUGAAGGCUUUCGGGUCGUAAAACUCUGUUGCUAGGGAAGAACAAGUGCUAGUUGAAUAAGCUGGCACCUUGACGGUACCUAACCAGAAAGCCACGGCUAACUACGUGCCAGCAGCAGCCGCAG
This 515-nucleotide ribosomal RNA is filed under the name uncultured bacterium. RNAcentral describes it as "partial 16S ribosomal RNA". It matches the Rfam family "Bacterial small subunit ribosomal RNA", at positions 28 to 523 of the family's 1533-position model. The record is from RNAcentral.